CAAUUGGAAUGAGAACAAUUUAAAUCCCUUAUCGAGUUUCAAUUGGAGGGCAAGUCUGGUGCCAGCAGCCGCGGUAAUCCCAGCUCCAAUAGCGUAUAUUAAAGUUGUUGCAGUUAAAAAGCUCGUAGUUGAAGCUCUGCGGGGCGGGUCGCUGGGCCUCGGUCUGGUGACCUUCCUCGCAUCCAUCUGAGCAACGGCUCCGGCAUUAACUUGUCGCUGUCGUGAUCAGGUACUUUACCUUGAGCAAAUGAGAGUGUUCCAGGCAGGCUUGGGCCUGAAUCGUCCAGCAUGGAAUAAUAGAAGAGGACUGGGCUCCAUUUAUUGGUGUUAUGGCGCUUAGUAAUGAUUAAUAGGGAUAGUUGGGGGCAUUUGUAUUUAAUUGUCAGAGGUGAAAUUCUAUGAUUUAUUAAAGACAAACUUAUGCGAAAGCAUUUGCCAAGGAUGAUUUC
RNAcentral lists this ribosomal RNA (449 nucleotides) under Conticribra weissflogii. RNAcentral's name for it is "partial Eukaryotic small subunit ribosomal RNA". It matches the Rfam family "Eukaryotic small subunit ribosomal RNA", at positions 506 to 971 of the family's 1831-position model. The record is from RNAcentral. Lineage: Eukaryota; Bacillariophyta; Thalassiosirophyceae; Thalassiosirales; Thalassiosiraceae.